Molecule: ribosomal RNA, 513 nt
Filed under: uncultured bacterium
Lineage: Bacteria
Description: partial 16S ribosomal RNA
Rfam family: Bacterial small subunit ribosomal RNA
Source: RNAcentral
GACGAACGCUGGUGGCAUGCCUAAUACAUGCAAGUCGAGCGAACAGAUGAAGUGCUUGCACUUCUGACGUUAGCGGCGAACGGGUGAGUAACACGUAAGGAAUCUACCUAUAAGCGGGGGAUAACAUUCGGAAACGGGUGCUAAUACCGCAUAAUAUCUUCUUCCGCAUGGAAGAAGAUUGAAAGACGGCUCUGCUGUCACUUAUAGAUGACCUUGCGGUGCAUUAGUUAGUUGGUUGGGUAAUGGCCUACCAAGACGAUGAUGCAGAGCCGACCUGAGAGGGUGAUCGGCCACAUUGGGACUGAGACACGGCCCGAACUCCUACGGGAGGCAGCAGUAGGGAAUCUUCCGCAAUGGGCGAAAGCCUGACGGAGCAAUGCCGCGUGAGUGAAGAAGGCCUUCGGGUCGUAAAACUCUGUUAUAAGAGAAGAACAAAUUGUAGAGUAACUGCUACAGUCUUGACGGUAUCUUAUCAGAAAGCCACGGCUAACUACGUGCCAGCAGCCGCAGUAA